CAAAGUGCUGGGAUCAGAGACGUGAGCCACCGCGCCCGGCCUGAAUUAAUAUUUUAACACUUUUGUUAAAGAUAAGAGCCUUAAAAUGGUAUAAUUCCAAUUACUCUCCUUUGUCCUUUAUGUUAGUUUUGUCACUUAUUUUUUUUCUGCAUGUUUGUUGUGAGUUAUCAGGAAUUAGUGUUGGAUUUUGCCAAAAUUCUUUUAUGUCUUUUGACAUGAUUCUAUUGAUUUUCUACUUUAUUUAUUUAUAUGAUGUACUAUGUUCAUUGUGUUUUAGAUAGUAAACCAAAUUUGCAUUACUAGUAUUAAUUCCAGAGACAUGUAGUGUAUGAUCGUCUUACAUACUGUUGGAUGUAAUUUGCUUCCAGGCUGUUAAACAUAUUUGCAGGUAAACUUAUGAGAGACAUUGUUUGGCACUUUCCUUUUCUUCUGAUGUCUCCAUCCUGCUUUGGUAUCAAGCUAAUACUGGCUUUCUAAAAUGUUUUGGCAUAUCUUCUCUUCUGUAUUUGCUGGAAAUGUUUGUGUAUGACUGAUAUACUUUCUUCCUUAAAUGUUAGAUGGAAUUCAUGGGUUAAGGCUUCUAGCACUACACUCUUCUUCAGAGGGAAUAUGUUUAAUUACUAAUUCAAUUUUUUUUUACUUUAUAUACAUCUAUUAAGAUUUUCUAUUUGUUCUUUAGUCAAUUUUGCUACUUAAUGUCUUUGUCGGAAUUUGCUUAUUUCAUUUAUGUUGCUAAACUUGUUGACAUUAGUUGUUCAUCAUAAUACCUUAAAUUCUUUUAAAAUUUCUGUUGAAUCUGUUGUGAGGUUCUAUCUUUCAUUCUUUUUUUUUUUUUUUUCUCAGACAGAGUCUCGCUCUUGUCACCCAGGCUGGAUGCAGCAUCCUGCUACUGGAUAUGUAGAUAAAAGAGAAGUAUUACAUCUUUGAGAUAUGGAAUCAACCUAAGUGCUGCUCUAAGCAUACAAGUGCAGCAACAUGGAUGGAAAUGAAGUUCAUUAUCUUAAGUAAAAUAACAGAAACAGAAAGUCAAAUACUGCAUGUUCUCACUUAUAAAUAGGAGCUAAAUAACACAUACUCAUGGACACAGAGAGU
Molecule: long non-coding RNA, 1092 nt
Filed under: Homo sapiens (human)
Lineage: Eukaryota; Metazoa; Chordata; Mammalia; Primates; Hominidae
Description: HSALNT0152737
Source: RNAcentral